Molecule: long non-coding RNA, 852 nt
Organism: Puntigrus tetrazona (Sumatra barb)
Lineage: Eukaryota; Metazoa; Chordata; Actinopteri; Cypriniformes; Cyprinidae
Exons: 2
Source: RefSeq, a predicted model, not a curated record
CGAAUACUUACACAAGGCACUGUGUAUAAUGAAUAGUCUAUAUUUAGUCUAUAUAUUUCAUCAAAAUAAAUCUAUGAAUGACUGCUUCAUGUCUAUAUGGAAAUGAAAGAUUUACAGUAUAUUUCAAAUCUGUUUGCUUUCAGCAAGACAUUGGGUCUAUUAGGAAAACCAAACACUGUAAGAUGUGUAUCACGAUGUUCUUUCAGAUCCUAACAACAUUAACACUGAUUCGUUUUGACUAAGAAAUAAAAAUACUGUUUUAAAUUGUAAUAAUAAUUUAAUAAUAAGAGAAAAACAACUACUCAUUUUAACAAGAUAUUUAUGCUUGUUUAGUCAUUUCUAUUUUUCUAUACUCUUUGAAGCACUAUUAAUAAUUCACCCAUUAUUUUCUUUUAGUUUUGCUAUAGUCCUCUGUACAACAGUUUUUAUUAAAUUAUUGGUCAAACGAGGGUAAAUUAUUUAGCAAUUAACCAAAACCAUGUUAUAUUUGUUACUUCAAUAAUUCAUUUAUUAAACACUUAUUACAGUGCUUCAUCAGUGUUAUGUGAUGAGUUAAGACUCUUUUUCUCUUCUCACUUGUUUUUUUGUUUGUCUGUUUGUUUUCUCUUCCUCACUUUAGAAGAGAAAGGACAAAAUGGCGCAGAUGGUCCUAUUAAUGAAGAGACAAAUUUGUCCAGCGAUCCUAUGUCUGCUGCUGAAGUGAAGUCAGUGAUGGAGGGAGAUUCAGUCACUCUACCAACUGGUCAUACUGAUCUACAGAAAGAUGAUGUGAUACGAUGGAGGUUUAGACAAGAGGAAUCUCUUUUAGCUGAAAUCAUCUCCACAUCUGAAGAGAGAUUCAGAAACACACAC